RNAcentral lists this long non-coding RNA (458 nucleotides) under Homo sapiens (human). RNAcentral describes it as "non-protein coding lnc-NABP1-5:24". The record is from RNAcentral. Lineage: Eukaryota; Metazoa; Chordata; Mammalia; Primates; Hominidae.
ACAAAUUAAAUAUAAGUCUGCUCUUCAAGAGGUUACAUUCCAGUUAAGGAGAUUGCAUAUCCAUAUUUCCAGAAGUACCAAUGUGAUUGAAGCAAGGGAAAUUGCUAUGGGAUAUCUGACCAACUGGAUAUUCUGCUGGAAGAGCAGAAUGCACUUCAAAGACUAGCCAAUAAAACUCUCAUGGGCUCCUGACACACUGACCUCUGUCAGUUCCUUCAGCACACCAGGCUAAUCCCCAGUCUUGCGCCUUUGGACCAGAGGUUUUCUUUGCUCAGAAUACUGUUUCAACAGAUCUUUGCAUAGCUGGCUCUCGCUAUUUGACUAAAAUGUCAAUCCUCAGAGAGGAUGUAAGCUGUUUAAAGGCAAGGACCUUAUCUGUGUUACAUGCUGUAUUCCCAGGGCUCAGACAGAGCAUGACCUAUCGUAUGUACUAAAUAAAUAUCUCCUCAUACUGUAAA